CACGCCCCCGACGCGGGCGAUGCGCUCGGCGGUUGACACUCGCCGCCGGGUGACAGCGGUUCGGUGCCCCUGGAGCGCGU
This 80-nucleotide transfer RNA is filed under the name Streptomyces violaceolatus. Its description in RNAcentral is "tRNA-Val". RNAcentral also lists the same sequence under 2 other names. Lineage: Bacteria; Bacillati; Actinomycetota; Actinomycetes; Kitasatosporales; Streptomycetaceae. The record is from RNAcentral.